RNAcentral lists this ribosomal RNA (253 nucleotides) under uncultured bacterium. Its description in RNAcentral is "partial 16S ribosomal RNA". It matches the Rfam family "Bacterial small subunit ribosomal RNA", at positions 524 to 776 of the family's 1533-position model. The record is from RNAcentral.
UACGUAGGGUGCAAGCGUUAUCCGGAAUUAUUGGGCGUAAAGAGCUCGUAGGCGGUUUGUCGCGUCUGCUGUGAAAACUGGAGGCUCAACCUCCAGCCUGCAGUGGGUACGGGCAGACUAGAGUGCGGUAGGGGAGACUGGAAUUCCUGGUGUAGCGGUGAAAUGCGCAGAUAUCAGGAGGAACACCGGUGGCGAAGGCAGGUCACUGGGCCGCAACUGACGCUGAGGAGCGAAAGCAUGGGGAGCGAACAGG